CACGUAGGGUGCGAGCGUUGUCCGGAAUUAUUGGGCGUAAAGAGCUCGUAGGCGGUGUGUCGCGUCGGCCGUGAAAACCUGCAGCUUAACUGUGGGCGUGCGGUCGAUACGGGCAUCACUGGAGUUCGGCAGGGGAGACUGGAAUUCCUGGUGUAGCGGUGAAAUGCGCAGAUAUCAGGAGGAACACCGGUGGCGAAGGCGGGUCUCUGGACCACAACUGACGCUGAGGCGCGAAAGCUAGGGGAGCAAACAGG
RNAcentral lists this ribosomal RNA (254 nucleotides) under uncultured prokaryote. RNAcentral describes it as "partial 16S ribosomal RNA". It matches the Rfam family "Bacterial small subunit ribosomal RNA", at positions 524 to 776 of the family's 1533-position model. The record is from RNAcentral.